AGCGGAAUGAUGAAGAAGCUUGCUUCUUCUGAUUUUAGCGGCGGACGGGUGAGUAACACGUGGGCAACCUACCUUGUAGAUUGGGAUAACUCCGGGAAACCGGGGCUAAUACCGAAUAAUCCAUUUUGCUUCAUGGCAAGAUGUUGAAAGGCGGCUUCGGCUGUCACUACGAGAUGGGCCCGCGGCGUAUUAGCUAGUUGGUAGGGUAAUGGCCUACCAAGGCGACGAUACGUAGCCGACCUGAGAGGGUGAUCGGCCACACUGGGACUGAGACACGGCCCAGACUCCUACGGGAGGCAGCAGUAGGGAAUCUUCCACAAUGGACGAAAGUCUGAUGGAGCAACGCCGCGUGAGUGAAGAAGGUUUUCGGAUCGUAAAACUCUGUUGUAAGGGAAGAACACGUACGAGAGUAACUGCUCGUACCUUGACGGUACCUUAUUAGAAAGCCACGGCUAACUACGUGCCAGCAGCCGCGGUAAUACGUAGGUGGCAAGCGUUGUCCGGAAUUAUUGGGCGUAAAGCGCGCGCAGGCGGUUCUUUAAGUCUGAUGUGAAAGCCCACGGCUCAACCGUGGAGGGUCAUUGGAAACUGGAGAACUUGAGUACAGAAGAGGAAAGCGGAAUUCCACGUGUAGCGGUGAAAUGCGUAGAGAUGUGGAGGAACACCAGUGGCGAAGGCGGCUUUCUGGUCUGUAACUGACGCUGAGGCGCGAAAGCGUGGGGAGCAAACAGGAUUA
Molecule: ribosomal RNA, 736 nt
Filed under: uncultured Arthrobacter sp.
Lineage: Bacteria; Bacillati; Actinomycetota; Actinomycetes; Micrococcales; Micrococcaceae
Also listed under: 1 other name
Description: bacterial SSU rRNA
Rfam family: Bacterial small subunit ribosomal RNA
Source: RNAcentral